Molecule: ribosomal RNA, 468 nt
Filed under: uncultured bacterium
Lineage: Bacteria
Description: partial 16S ribosomal RNA
Rfam family: Bacterial small subunit ribosomal RNA
Source: RNAcentral
GACGAACGCUGGCGGCGUGCUUAACACAUGCAAGUCGAACGGAAAGGCCCUGCUUUUGUGGGGUGCUCGAGUGGCGAACGGGUGAGUAACACGUGAGUAACCUGCCCUUGACUUUGGGAUAACUUCAGGAAACUGGGGCUAAUACCGGAUAGGAGCUCCUGCUGCAUGGUGGGGGUUGGAAAGUUUCGGCGGUUGGGGAUGGACUCGCGGCUUAUCAGCUUGUUGGUGGGGUAGUGGCUUACCAAGGCUUUGACGGGUAGCCGGCCUGAGAGGGUGACCGGCCACAUGAGGACUGAGAUACGGCCCAGACUCCUACGGGAGGCAGCAGUGGGGAAUAUUGCACAAUGGGCGGAAGCCUGAUGCAGCAACGCCGCGUGCGGGAAGACGGCCUUCGGGUUGUAAACCGCUUUCGCCUGUGACGAAGCGUGAGUGACGGUAAUGGGUAAAGAAGCACCGGCUAACUACGUG